CUGUGGGGGUAAGGAAGAGUUGGGGCCUAGAGGAGCUGCCUACAAGAACCAUCAAGGAGGUAUGGAACUCCAGCAAUAUAGAACCUUUGCGCUAUAAUGACAACAAGCAAGUGCAACAGAAUCUGCCCCAAAGAGAUGGGGGUGUGACGUUGCUGAGAUGAGUGUGUCACUGCUGGAGGGGUGACGCUGCUGGCCGGGUGUCACAGUGUUCUGUGUGUCUGCUGAGGGCACCCAAGUCUGUGGAAAUUUCGUUGUUCUGUGUCCCUGGGUGUUGGCUGUCAUCAGCCCCUCACGCUUUUAGUCCCUGCUGCCUUCUCAUCCAUCAUGUACUCUUGUGUGGCUGUAAUUGCUAUCAGAUGUGACUGCUGAACAAAUGUUAUGGACUGUACUCCUCAAGGCUCGUGAAGGGAGACACUUGGAGACGAACAGGAGAACAAGAGGUGGAUUACUCCUACUCUAUCCUUCACUGGACUGUAGAAUCCAGUCUUUCACAAGUCCCAGCUCAAGAAGAUUUUAGCCUAUGAACAUACAUGGUUCUGGUCCAAAAGACAGAAACCAUCUAAUCUCCUCGGCAGGUCAGGACUUCCUGGUCCAGUUCAUAUCCACACCUCUACAGCAGCUUGAUUAACUCUCCAGUGACAGAAACAUUUAACUCUGUGAUUCAAUCACUUCCCUCAAAACAAAGAUCACAGAAUAGUUAAGGCUGAAAGGGACCAUUGGAAGUCAUCCUCCAACCUCUGCUCAAGCAGAGUUCCCUGGGGCACAUCAUUCAGAGUUGUGCUCAAGUAGCUUUGAACACCUCCAGUGAGGGAGAUCCACAGCCUCUCUGGACAAUCUGUUCUGGUGUGUGGUCACCUGCACAGUAAAGAAUUUUUCCUUAUGUUCAGGUGAAACUUCCUGUGCAUCAGUUUCUUCCCAUUGUCUCUCAUUACUCGGCACCACCAAGGAAAGCCUGGUCCAUCCUCUUGAUAUCCUCCUCUCAGACAAUUACAGACAUUGAUGAGAUCUUCUCUCCAUGUUCUCCAGGCUGAACAGGCCCAGCUCCCUCAGCUGUCCCUUCUAAGAGAGAUGCUCCCCUCCCCUGAUCAUCUUUGUAGCCCUAUUGAUGCUCUGAAGUAUCUAAAGUUCUCUUGGAUAAGUACUUCAAACUCAUCCUUACUUAGGAAAAAAAACCUAAGGCUUUAAAAAUUCUGUCAGCACAGCAGUAGUGCCACUUUUAAGCUAAAAAAGGUCUCUGAUUAGAAAGCAGGAGCUACCCUGCAGUUUAACCUGGAUUUUUUCACUCACUUUCUGUUAUUAUAUUUCAGAUAAUGAGACAAGAAGGGUCAUGAAUGAUGAAGUACAAAUACUUUAAAAGAGAUAAUGUAAUUAAUUAGCCUUGGAAGUAGAUAAGGACAGAAUGGAAAAGAAUUGAUCUUUAAAAAGAGUUGAGCUUAAUGGAGAGCUAUGUGUACAAAAUUGAGAAUGUUUCUGGCUAUUGUCAUUAAAAUAAGUCUAGAAAUACCAUAUCCAUGGCCUUUUUAAUGCACCAGCAUAAGGGUGAGCUUUCUCUGCAAACAGAGUUAUUGAGCACAGCUGAUUUGGCAGGAGGGGGACUGGGCUUUAGGGAGAGGACUAAAUGCUCAUCUUCGAUGUGCACAUAGGCACCUGUAGAUGAUGAUUCAGAGACAUAAAAAGAAGCUUGAGGAAGCAACCAGAAAUGGUCUGAGCUUGCUCCUGAUAGACCUUGCCCAAUGUACCUAGUAUUGCCCAAGUAGCAGUCAGUACCCAAAAAUACUUCAGUGAAACAGGAAAACUGACUGAUAGAGGCCUCUGAGUCUGCAGUGUUAUCCAGCUCACAGCUCACACACCCAAACUGCAGGUGAGCUGAAAAAAACAACAGGAUUGAAAGCUGAGGUAGAACUGCUUGACUUCCAAAGGUGAAAGGGAAACCUGGUGUCAACUUUUAGCUCCUAGGUUUGGCAAUUUCCUCACCUCACAAAACAUACAGACCUGCUCUUGCUAAUUUCAUUAAGCAUUUGAUACUGCCGAUGGACAGGUUUUAUUUAAAUUUUGUCAGCAUAUAAACAGGCCAUUUAAAAGCACUUCAGUAAAGUCAUUUUAGGCAGUAAUACUUUAAUUUAAAUUUUAAAAAAAUUGAAUUCAAUACAGUAUUUGAGAAACUUCCAAAAAAUUCAAGUUAUGAUUGGCAUUGUAUACCAAAUGCUACCCUUCUUGUUGAAUAAAUCAGCUGCAAGCUGUAUGGAUUUACAUUUAAAAAAAUAAAACCCCUAAUUCCUUUAUUUCUAUAACUUGCAAAGGAUUAUUUUGGGCUGCUUGUUCUCAAACCAUUGCUGGCAUUUCCAUGCUGUUCAAUGAAUUUGAUGCAAGCACUCUUCUGUGCUCAGUUUAAGGCAUGAACUGGUGAUAUCUAUGAAUAAUUUUCUGUGAUACUUUGCAGAAAGUGAGAGUGGUUCUAAUUAAUUUAUAAAUGGUUUAAACAAUUUGCAUUUUACUGAUUAGCUAAUAGAGGUGGGUUUGGGACACUGGUGAAAUUCCUUAACUGCUGCCUUACAGAUUCCUCCUGCACCUGCCUUUAAACUUGCUCACUUUCUGGUGCUGGAUUUCUGCGUUCCUGAGAUCAGCUUUAAUGAGGCUGUUGGGGUGCUGGAGCACAACUGUUUGCAAGCACACAAUAUUUUCUUUGAAAUCGCAGGUGAUGUUGACAUUUCCAGCAGGCGGAACUUGCACUGGUUAAAGUUGCUGGAUCCAGUCCAGAGGAUUUUACUUGGACGAGUGAAUAGAGCUGGACAGAAACCCUGGGAAUACCUCUCCUCACUAUGACUCAGAGAAGCAGAGCAUAGGCAGAAUGUUAAAUUGACAAAGAAAGUGGGGUUUUAAUUGCAUUCAUGUGUUCCUCAUGGCUUUAAUGAAACUAUUCACAUGGUGGAAUUGUGAAACAUUUAUCCCAUUUUCUGGGGAACACCACCAUAUGGUAUAACAUCAUGUUUGGCUAUCUGCAUAAUAAAGUUAUUUAUUUUUGAUUGCCCUUAUAAUAUGCUCCCAUAAAUUAUAGUACCUGAUCCUUCUGUGCACAGUCCCUGUCCAUUUGUUAAAACUCCAACUUGUUCCUUACUGUUCUUACUGAUGAAAAAUUUUGCUAUGAGUAAUUUUCUAUACGUAUAUAUUAGUUUUGGAUUACUGAGAUUGCCUAAUGAGAUUACAAUCAGCUGUUAAAUAUUUCUGACAAAGUAUGCAGUACAGAAUUUGGAAAACAUCUGUACUUCAUGAUGAAAUCAACUUCUAGAAGAUUUUGUUAGAAAUAUAAUUCUUUAUACUUUGGCAAGAAAUUAUCUUGCACAAUGCUGGUAAAGCAGAAUUAGUUCAGGUUGCUGCUGGCAGCAAAAGAUUCUCCAUUAUUUCACUCCAUCAGGCACAUUUGAAAAUUAUUACAAGUAACUGCUAGAAACAAGAAGAUGAACAUGAGAAAAAGUGGAGAGAGAAUCUGGGUUUUGGCCCCUUGGGAAGAUCAUCCUAAAGAGGAUCCAGCUCAGUCAGCUGGGUGAAAUUGCCUCCAGUGAAGCACAAUUCCAGACAUGGACAAAAAUUCAGACUGGUUUCCUAGGAAUUCUAAGUUUUACAGAAUGUUAUAUAACUGAAGACCAAAAAUAGGACCCUGUAUUUCUACAGACCACAUAGUUCCACAGGGUUCAAGCAUAAACUGUUCAUAUUUUGCUUCAGAAUGCAGUGCUAGGAUGUAUCAGAGCUCGGAUUCCCGCCUUUCAGCAGAAAGAGCAGCCUGCAGAGCACAGGAACACACUGCAGGGUCAGCCCUGCCGGGGACAGAGACCUCCUCCAAGCAGAUCCUGAGACCUUUGGCUGCUGGCAGCAAAGGGAGCCACAGGGUGGGGAACUCCACGGCUCAGCAUUUAGCCAGGGUCAGCCGUAACUCACAUGCCCCUGGUUUCACUCACAUCCAUACUGAGAAAAAAAACCCCAAAAAACCCAACAAACCAAACUUAACCAAAGGAAAAAAAAAAAAAAAAAAAAAAGGAAGAGAUCAUAAAAUGUGUUAAUACUUAAGUUUGCUGCCAAAACAUUGUUCUCAACAGUUUAUGCUGAAAAGAGAGGAGACUUUUCAUCCCCAGGUAAGAUCAAGCCCUGAUGGAAGUAAGAUAAAGAAUGGGUCACAAAAUUUUGCUGUUGUUUGGCAUCUAUGUUUAUUAAAUCUGUCAUUAUAACAAUUACA
Molecule: long non-coding RNA, 4228 nt
Organism: Zonotrichia leucophrys gambelii
Lineage: Eukaryota; Metazoa; Chordata; Aves; Passeriformes; Passerellidae
Exons: 3
Source: RefSeq, a predicted model, not a curated record